RNAcentral lists this ribosomal RNA (253 nucleotides) under uncultured bacterium. Its description in RNAcentral is "partial 16S ribosomal RNA". It matches the Rfam family "Bacterial small subunit ribosomal RNA", at positions 524 to 776 of the family's 1533-position model. The record is from RNAcentral.
UACGGGGGGGGCAAGCGUUGUUCGGAAUUACUGGGCGUAAAGGGCUCGUAGGUGGCCAACUAAGUCGGACGUGAAAUCCCUCGGCUUAACCGGGGAACUGCGUCCGAUACUGGAUGGCUUGAGGUUGGGAGAGGGAUGCGGAAUUCCAGGUGUAGCGGUGAAAUGCGUAGAUAUCUGGAGGAACACCGGUGGCGAAGGCGGCAUCCUGGACCAAUUCUGACACUGAGGAGCGAAAGCCAGGGGAGCAAACGGG